CCUACGGGAGGCAGCAGUGGGGAAUUUUGGACAAUGGGCGCAAGCCUGAUCCAGCAAUGCCGCGUGAGUGAAGAAGGCCUUCGGGUUGUAAAGCUCUUUUGUCAGGGAAGAAACGGUGGAGGCUAAUAUCCUUUGCUAAUGACGGUACCUGAAGAAUAAGCACCGGCUAACUACGUGCCAGCAGCCGCGGUAAUACGUAGGGUGCAAGCGUUAAUCGGAAUUACUGGGCGUAAAGCGUGCGCAGGCGGUUUUGUAAGUUUGUCGUGAAAUCCCCGGGCUCAACCUGGGAAUGGCGAUGAAGACUGCAAGGCUAGAAUCUGGCAGAGGGGGGUAGAAUUCCACGUGUAGCAGUGAAAUGCGUAGAGAUGUGGAGGAACACCGAUGGCGAAGGCAGCCCCCUGGGUCAAGAUUGACGCUCAUGCACGAAAGCGUGGGGAGCAAACAGGAUUAGAUACCCUGGUAGUCCACGCCCUAAACGAUGUCUACUAGUUGUCGGGUUUUAAUUAACUUGGUAACGCAGCUAACGCGUGAAGUAGACCGCCUGGGGAGUACGGUCGCAAGAUUAAAACCUCAAAUGAAUUGACGGCUGGAGACGUGCGACGACGACGACGAGGGAGGAGG
RNAcentral lists this ribosomal RNA (621 nucleotides) under uncultured bacterium. RNAcentral's name for it is "bacterial SSU rRNA". It matches the Rfam family "Bacterial small subunit ribosomal RNA", at positions 338 to 951 of the family's 1533-position model. The record is from RNAcentral.